RNAcentral lists this ribosomal RNA (115 nucleotides) under uncultured bacterium. RNAcentral's name for it is "partial 16S ribosomal RNA". It matches the Rfam family "Bacterial small subunit ribosomal RNA", at positions 1360 to 1482 of the family's 1533-position model. The record is from RNAcentral.
CGGUGAAUACGUUCCCGGACCUUGUACACACCGCCCCGUCAAGCCAUGGAAGCUGGGUGUACCUAAAGUCGAUAACCGCAAGGAGUCGCCUAGGGUAAAACUAGUAACUGGGGCU